GCAAUACGGAGCGGCAGACGGGAGAGUAACACGUGGGAACGUGCCCUUCAGUUCGGAACAACCCAGGGAAAUUUGGGCUAAUACCGGAUACGUCCGAAAGGAGAAAGAUUAUCGCUGAAGGAUCGGCCCGCGUCUGAUUAGCUAGUUGGUGGGGUAAUGGCCCACCAAGGCGACGAUCAGUAGCUGGUCUGAGAGGAUGAUCAGCCUCACUGGGACUGAGACACGGCCCAGACUCCUACGGGAGGCAGCAGUGGGGAAUAUUGGACAAUGGGCGCAAGCCUGAUCCAGCCAUGCCGCGUGGGUGAUGAAGGCCCUAGGG
This 319-nucleotide ribosomal RNA is filed under the name uncultured bacterium. Its description in RNAcentral is "bacterial SSU rRNA". It matches the Rfam family "Bacterial small subunit ribosomal RNA", at positions 85 to 422 of the family's 1533-position model. The record is from RNAcentral.